AUACGGAGGAUGCGAGCGUUAUCCGGAUUUAUUGGGUUUAAAGGGUGCGUAGGCGGGCACUUAAGUCAGCGGUGAAAGUUUGCAGCUCAACUGUAAAAUUGCCGUUGAAACUGGGCGCCUUGAGUGUAAAUGAAGUAGGCGGAAUUCGUGGUGUAGCGGUGAAAUGCAUAGAUAUCACGAAGAACUCCGAUUGCGAAGGCAGCUUACUAAGCUACAACUGACGCUGAAGCACGAAAGCGUGGGUAUCAAACAGGAUUAGAUACCCUGGUAGUCCACGCCGUAAACGAUGAUUACUAGCUGUUUGCGAUAUACAGUAAGCGGCUAAGCGAAAGCGAUAAGUAAUCCACCUGGGGAGUACGCCGGCAACGGUGAA
Molecule: ribosomal RNA, 373 nt
Filed under: uncultured Dysgonomonas sp.
Lineage: Bacteria; Pseudomonadati; Bacteroidota; Bacteroidia; Bacteroidales; Dysgonomonadaceae
Description: bacterial SSU rRNA
Rfam family: Bacterial small subunit ribosomal RNA
Source: RNAcentral